CAUCACCUCCAGCAUUCCCAGUAUUGGAGGCAUUGCCUGCCCAGUGACAACUGUUUAACGGCCGCGGUAUCCUGACCGUGCAAAGGUAGCAUAAUCAUUUGUUCUCUAAAUAAGGACUUGUAUGAAUGGCCGCACGAGGGUUUUACUGUCUCUUACUUCCAAUCAGUGAAAUUGACCUUCCCGUGAAGAGGCGGGAAUGCACAAAUAAGACGAGAAGACCCUAUGGAGCUUUAACUAACCAACCCAAAGAGAAUAAAUUUAACCAUUAAGGAAUAACAACAAUCUCCAUGAGUUGGUAGUUUCGGUUGGGGUGACCUCGGAGAAUAAAAAAUCCUCCGAGCGAUUUUAAAGACUAGACCCACAAGUCAAAUCACUCUAUCGCUCAUUGAUCCAAAAACUUGAUCAACGGAACAAGUUACCCUAGGGAUAACAGCGCAAUCCUAUUCAAGAGUCCAUAUCGACAAUAGGGUUUACGACCUCGAUGUUGGAUCAGGACAUCCUGAUGGUGCAACCGCUAUCAAAGGUUCGUUUGUUCAACGAUUAAAGUCCUACGUGAC
This 557-nucleotide ribosomal RNA is filed under the name Bos taurus (domestic cattle). RNAcentral's name for it is "partial 16S ribosomal RNA". It matches the Rfam family "Bacterial large subunit ribosomal RNA", at positions 1814 to 2604 of the family's 2925-position model. Lineage: Eukaryota; Metazoa; Chordata; Mammalia; Artiodactyla; Bovidae. The record is from RNAcentral.